UGCAUUUUUAACAGCCUGAAA
Molecule: non-coding RNA, 21 nt
Filed under: Caenorhabditis elegans
Lineage: Eukaryota; Metazoa; Nematoda; Chromadorea; Rhabditida; Rhabditidae
Source: RNAcentral